GCGAGCUUGGCGGAAUUGGUAGACGCAGGAGACUUAAAAUCUCCAGCCUGUAUGGGCGUGUGGGUUCAAGUCCCGCAGUUCGCACCA
RNAcentral lists this transfer RNA (87 nucleotides) under Acetobacter sp. Its description in RNAcentral is "tRNA-Leu". It matches the Rfam family "tRNA". From Rfam's summary of the family: Transfer RNA (tRNA) molecules are approximately 80 nucleotides in length. Their secondary structure includes four short double-helical elements and three loops (D, anti-codon, and T loops). The record is from RNAcentral. Lineage: Bacteria; Pseudomonadati; Pseudomonadota; Alphaproteobacteria; Acetobacterales; Acetobacteraceae.